RNAcentral lists this ribosomal RNA (247 nucleotides) under uncultured Rhodocyclaceae bacterium. RNAcentral's name for it is "partial 16S ribosomal RNA". It matches the Rfam family "Bacterial small subunit ribosomal RNA", at positions 1136 to 1382 of the family's 1533-position model. Lineage: Bacteria; Pseudomonadati; Pseudomonadota; Betaproteobacteria; Rhodocyclales; Rhodocyclaceae. The record is from RNAcentral.
CACUCUAAUGAGACUGCCGGUGACAAACCGGAGGAAGGUGGGGAUGACGUCAAGUCCUCAUGGCCCUUAUGGGUAGGGCUUCACACGUCAUACAAUGGUCGGUACAGAGGGUUGCCAACCCGCGAGGGGGAGCUAAUCCCACAAAGCCGAUCGUAGUCCGGAUCGCAGUCUGCAACUCGACUGCGUGAAGUCGGAAUCGCUAGUAAUCGUGGAUCAGCAUGUCACGGUGAAUACGUUCCCGGGUCUU